This 403-nucleotide ribosomal RNA is filed under the name uncultured soil bacterium. RNAcentral describes it as "bacterial SSU rRNA". It matches the Rfam family "Bacterial small subunit ribosomal RNA", at positions 26 to 432 of the family's 1533-position model. The record is from RNAcentral.
AGAUUGAACGCUAGCGGGAUGCUUUACACAUGCAAGUCGAACGGCAGCGCGGACUUCGGUCUGGCGGCGGGUGGCGAACGGGUGAGUAAUAUAUCGGAACGUGCCCAGUAGCGGGGGAUAACUACGCGAAAGCGUGGCUAAUACCGCAUACGCCCUACGGGGGAAAGGGGGGGAUUCUUCGGAACCUCUCACUAUUGGAGCGGCCGAUAUCAGAUUAGCUAGUUGGUGAGGUAAAGGCUCACCAAGGCGACGAUCUGUAGCUGGUUUGAGAGGACGACCAGCCACACUGGGACUGAGACACGGCCCAGACUCCUACGGGAGGCAGCAGUGGGGAAUUUUGGACAAGUGGGGGAAACCCUGAUCCAGCCAUCCCGCGUGUGCGAUGAAGGCCUGGUUGUAAGUA